This 548-nucleotide ribosomal RNA is filed under the name uncultured bacterium. Its description in RNAcentral is "bacterial SSU rRNA". It matches the Rfam family "Bacterial small subunit ribosomal RNA", at positions 777 to 1329 of the family's 1533-position model. The record is from RNAcentral.
AAUAGAUACCCGGGUAGUCCACGCCCUAAACGAUGCUCACUAGGUGUUGGGGAAGCGAUUCCUUGGUACCGUAGCUAACGCGUGAAGUGAGCCGCCUGGGGAGUACGGCCGUAAGGUUAAAACUCAAAGGAAUUGACGGGGACCCGCACAAGCGGUGGAUGAUGUGGAUUAAUUCGAUGCAACGCGAACAACCUUACCUACCUUUGACAUGUCCGGAAGCCUGCUGAAAGGUGGGUGUGCUCGAAAGAGAACCGGAACACAGGUGCUGCAUGGCUGUCGUCAGCUCGUGUCGUGAGAUGUUGGGUUAAGUCCCGCAACGAGCGCAACCCUUGUCCCUAGUUGCUACGCAAGGGCACUCUAGGGAGACUGCCGGUGACAAACCGGAGGAAGGUGGGGAUGACGUCAAGUCCUCAUGGCCCUUAUGGGUAGGGCUUCACACGUCAUACAAUGGACGGUACAGAGGGUUGCCAACCCGGCGAGGGGGAGCCAAUCCCAGAAAGCCGUUCGUAGUCCGGAUCGCAGUCUGCAACUCGACUGCGUGAAGUCGG